AACGAGGCCGACCUGCGGCUGAGUUACCUGCGGAGGGAUCAUUACGCGUAUUAGGGUGCCCAACCGGGGCGCCCUUUGCACACCCACCCUUUGCCUAUGUGUACCUUUCCAUCGCUUCCUCGGCGGGCUCGCCCGCCGGCAGGAACCAAACCAACCCCUUGCAUCCUACGCGAAAACUUCUGAUAACCACGUAAAUAAGUCACAACUUUUAACAAUGGAUCUCAGAUCGGAAGAGCACAC
This 240-nucleotide unclassified non-coding RNA is filed under the name soil metagenome. Its description in RNAcentral is "partial contains 5.8S ribosomal RNA, internal transcribed spacer 2, and large subunit ribosomal RNA". The record is from RNAcentral.